RNAcentral lists this long non-coding RNA (210 nucleotides) under Setaria italica (foxtail millet). Its description in RNAcentral is "long non-coding RNA (SITA_LNC000066)". The record is from RNAcentral. Lineage: Eukaryota; Viridiplantae; Streptophyta; Magnoliopsida; Poales; Poaceae.
CACAAAUAAACCACAAGAUGAGGCUAGGUCAGCGGAACCUUCGUCUUCGCCACCCAAGGAUGCUUAAAGUCCUCCUAGAUAAUACUCAGUGGAUGGCUUGUCGUAGUGUAUCAUGUUGUUUGGAUCUGAAAUUUAAAUAUGUGUAUUUCUAUCUAUAUCUAAACUUUUAGCAUUAUUUGCACUACAAAGUUUGACAUACUUUCAAUCGUG